RNAcentral lists this long non-coding RNA (1113 nucleotides) under Lathyrus oleraceus (garden pea). RNAcentral's name for it is "Pisum sativum (pea) long non-coding RNA (PSAT_LNC036619)". Lineage: Eukaryota; Viridiplantae; Streptophyta; Magnoliopsida; Fabales; Fabaceae. The record is from RNAcentral.
AAUCUAUAAUAAAAUCAUGAAUCAUAUGCUUACAAAUUUAAAAUUUCUCAUUUAGUUUAUUUUUUAUUUUUUCACAUCAAAGAGUAUUACAUUAUUAUACUUAGUGUACAUUAAAAUUAAACAAAAUUAAAAAAAAAACAUCUCUAAGUGUGGGACCCCUCAAAGUUUGCAGGUUUUGGCAUGACCAUGUUGUCUUUGUGUGUAAAACCAUAGGCAUCUCUCUAUCCUAUACCAACGGAGAUAACAAUAACAUCUUUGUGCAGAAUCUGUUUUUGUCUUGUAUAUGCCUACACAUAAGCAACAUCAUAGUUAACAUAGAAAUAGGUAUAAACUUAGACUCAAAAGAAAAAUGAAAUUGAAAGGUAUCAAAACAUCAGCAUAGCAGAAAUUUUAAACUAAAAUGUUAAAAGCAAUUUUUGUACUUCAAAAAUUCAAUCAACUCCAUCACCAUUUGUUUUCAUACAACCACAAUCACAAAACCGAAUUUGUUCAGUAUAAAGAGAGGGGAAAAAUCAGAGGAAAAAUGGAGAGGAACCCUAGCCAUCAUUCCAAUACAUACUGAUGCAAAAAUCCUAAAACAUUCAAAGAUCAAACACAAAGAAAAACCACUGCAAAUGUUUUUCCCCUAAUCACCAUAGAACUCAAAAAUUUGCACAAAAAUCAAAAUAAAUAGGAACGAAAAGAAGUAGAAGGAAGGAACAUACCUAGAGGAUUUCAACCUUAACCGAGUCCCUCCUCCGUAGAUCUGGUACCUCAUCACCUCAUUUUCAUACUCGAGUCCCUUUCCCAUUUGAUAAGUGUUACAGUAUGGUUAUAUUUUUAGACAAAUAUUGAAAUCAGGUUUUGGGGAUUUUAUUUGAGGCUUAGGGAUUUUGAUUUGAAUGAUUUUUGAUUGUUUGUUUGAUUUCAGAUGUUGUAUUUGGUUUUUGUUUGAUUUCAAAUAUACAAACAUUUAUUUGCAGUUAUUUCAAAAUGUUGGGUUAUAUAGAGAAAAUAUAUCAAUGUCUGCGUGCUGUUUUCUGCCCCUGUCUUUUUUUUUUUUUUUUAUAAAAAAAUUGCCACUUAUAGUUAUAGUUCGUUGAGUGUCACUUUUUUCUUCUUCUUUGAAGUCAG